GGCGGGGCACCGGUGUCUCCCUCGCGGCCGGUUGCUCCACCUCACCUCGCCCCACCCGGAGCCGCCUUCCGGCGGGAGCCGGCGCUAAGGACGGGAGAAACUGGUUCAUGUGUCAGCCACCCGAGGGCUUGGCCGCCACGGCUGUGUCAGACGGGGACGAGCCUGUGAAAACACCAGCAUGUGCCGCCGCGUCCACAGGACCUUCCUGCGUGUGUGAUAAGGCGCUCUGAGGAAAAGAUUCUGGAAGGCCGGCGAGGGGAGAGGAUGAAAGGCCUGCACGCAGGGGAAGUCCUGGCCCUGAGAGAGGAGCAGGCAGAUCCGGGGACUUCCGCGCGCCCCCGCCAAGUUAAUAUGCUACAAGAACCAGCUGGGCAGGGUCUGGACACGCCUUUCUGUUCGGCAGUGCACAGAGCAGAUAGAGGCCAUCCCGGUGUGCCAGGUGAGCAGAGUCUUAUAGUGGAAGACGACUGGCAUGGAGGGUCAAGAGCUUGAAGAUGGUAUUUUCCUACUAGCAUUAAGUAUCAGCAAGAUGUAGAGAGAGAAUAUGCUUCCAUUUACUGGUUCAUUCCACAAGCACCCACAGUGGCCAGGGGGCCAAAGCCAAGGGCUGAAAACUCAAUCCAGGUCUCGCCUGUGGAUGGCAGGGACCCAACUACCUGAACCAUCUCCUGCUACCUCCCGGGUGGGUCUCAGCCAGGACUGAAAUCAGGAGAAGAGCCAGGACUCCAUGGCAUCGCUCCGAUAUGGGAUGCCGGUAUCCCAGGCAGCGGCUUAACACCUGCUAGGCCAAACACCCGCCCCUCAUUGAGUUUUUAAUUUGAAUGAAUUAAUCUUUUAUAUCCUAGAAACAAGUUGGUACUGUUUCAGAUCUGCCUGUUCUCUGCUCAUAUUGUCCUUUUGUCCCAUUAUGAUUUCAAUUUAGUCUUUUUCCUCUUUAGGCACUUUAAAUAGAGUGAUGUUUAUAGUCUCUUGCAGAGUGCUCAGUUAGCUGUAAUUCUUUGGGUACUAUGUUGUUGAGCACUAAGUCUUUCAGUUCUUCCUCGUCUCUUCAUAUGGUCUAUAAUUUGUUGCUGCGAGCUCCUCUUAGCCAGCAGUCGUGUGUUUUGUGGGAGUCCCGCGUGCCCUAGAUUACAGCUUUGUCCCCACAGCGCAGAUUCACUGUUUGUUCUCAAGGGUCCCAGAAUUGUCGUGGGCCUUGGCCCAAUUUGUUUUUCUUGCCCAAUUUUUGUGAGUUUAUCAGACAAGGACUCGCACGCUGGAAAGCUAGUAUAAAAUUAGAUCCCGCACUCAGGCGUGGGGUUUGUUUCUCAGAAGAGAUGUGUCAUUUUCCACGGUCUCAAAGUCCUGAAUACUGCAAGAUUCCUCGCUCUUUUUCUUUGCUGGAGCCCUUUUUCUCCUAUAUAAUGCACUAAGCCACCUUGCAAGAACCUCUCUUUAAUUCAGCCUCUUAAUUCCUCUCAGUUCAUCGUGAGUGGGCCCGAGUCUCCGUCCUUGUGUUUAUGUGACGUAGGUAUAGCCCAGCUCCCAUUCUCUAAGCGCUGGUCUUGUCACCCAGCCUUACCGUUCUCGGUUCCAUCUUGGCUUAGUGAUCUGCUUUUAGAAACACAACUCGAUUGUGCCGUCAUCAUUUAUUUUACUAUAUUUUAUUCAGAAUAUCAGUAUUUUUAUUGCAAGAAGUGUCUGCAUCAGCUCACCUUGUUGCUGGAACCAGAAGUCGCUGAAAAAAAUCUUGGUUAUGCCUGUAUUUAAAGAAAUAUUCUCCAUGGGGAAGGUUUACGGGGGAUUUUGAUUUUCUAUUAAAGUCUUACUUUUAUUGUUUGGACUUUAUACA
This is a non-coding RNA of Oryctolagus cuniculus (rabbit), 1831 nucleotides long. NCBI's taxonomy places the organism in Eukaryota, Metazoa, Chordata, Mammalia, Lagomorpha, Leporidae. The record is from RefSeq and is a predicted model, not a curated record.